AGACGGGGCCUUGCGCGAGGCGGCGCUGGCGCGCGGGGACGGGGCUCGCGCGGCGGGCGGGCGCGUGCGCGGGGCGGAGGGCGGGCGGCCGGCCGUUCGCUGUCCCAUGCCCAAGCAAAACGGCAGCAAAGUUGAGGCAUCGGGGAGAGUAAGUGAUAAAAAUAAAAACCCCAGCAUAGCCAGUCCUGGCCCUGAACUCGUGCUCUGUGUCACUCCUGGAGGGACGGCUGAGACGCUCACCCAAGAGCGAGGCCUGAAGGUCAAGGUCUCACCUGUUCCCACCAGGGAGAUCCAACAAGCUGCCCUGCCUUGGCCUGCCCUCCAAUGCAGCCCCCGACCAUCACGGCUUAAAGCUUUCUGCAAGAGGCAGAGCUGAGCUCCCGUUGUUCCAAGGGUUGUGUGUUAAUGCUCAACUGAGAGUGGAGACUUGCACAGCUGACAGAAGACACCGAUCACCAGCAAGAUUUUUACUGCUCCGCUUUUAAACCUUGUCAUCAGGCCUCCCUGUGCUGAAAGCAGAGGUCACCCAGUGCCACCCUGAUGCUAGAGCUUUCACCAAGGCAAGCGAUUUUCAAGGCAUCUUCAUGGGAGGGAAGAAAAGUUUUCCAUAACACAGUCACAGUUUAAAACACUCCUAGGGCCUGAAUGUCUAGAAGGGAAAGGAAAAUGGGGUAAAAAAAGGAUAAAAACCCCAACACCUUUCAAGACUUCUUUGUACAUUGUGAUAAAAAUAGAAAAUAGACAAAAAAGCUGAGAGAUUUCCUCCCACCCCCAACACCUCCUGCUAAUCAUCCUAAAAAUUACCAGGGCAGAAGGUAAAAUUCAGCUCCCAUCAGCAUGACACUGAAUAUUCCUGCAUUUCAUUCCAGCAGCUGCAUUUGGAAAAUAUCUAGCAGAAGCUAUUACCAUGCGCUGUGCUGAAAGGUAACAAUCAACACUCUUAUUUUCAAGAUUCCUGCUAUAAAAGACUUUUUACAUCUUGGCCGUUUAUGAAUGCUGCAGUAUCUAUAUUCUAGUUUUUAACUUCUCCUGUGCAUGCUGUUUCCAUGUCACACGAACACAGCCCUGCUGCCAUAAGAGUACGCAGAAAAAUACACAGUAUUUUCAGUCUCCUUUUACAAUCCUGGCAAAUUUGUAGUUUGCACUUGGGUGAUGUGGAAAUGGCACAAUAAUUGCAACAGACAGCCACGGUGACCGAGAACAUCUGUGCUCUCGGCUGACAACCUGCCCUCAGGUACUGACUCACCUGCCUCGCACCGAGGGAGGCAGAGCUUUACACUACUGUCACUCUUGCAGUUUGCUUCCCCAAAGGGUCAUGCUAGGCAAAUCCUCUUAAUGGUGUGCACCAAAAUGCUGCAGAAAGCACUCCCAUUUCUCCUUAAUUACUGCAGGUGAUAUUAAGACAAGUUACACCACCUACUAAUCAACACAUUCAGAGUCUCAUCAGAGCAGUGCAGGCAGUGCUACAGGAGAUGGCCAGGGGGCAAUUUUCUCACCUCCCCUAGGCAGGCACUGCUAGUAGAAAAGCUGAGAGCUGGCAGAAGAGUGCGCUCUUCAGUAACUGAAGCAUGUUCUUGUGAGGUCCUGCUGCAUCAGUCACAUCAUGAAAUUGGAAUCUGUAAUGAGAGGGAAGGGGAAGCAGCCAGUUUCCCCUUUCAGUUGUUGGGAAGCCAUUCCUUCUUACCUUCAGACUGUACUUGGGUAUCUCACUUUCCAUGAAAGCGACCCACAAUGCCCACAAUCUCCACACUGGAACAAAUCAAAACCAGCAAGUCAUUUUGACUGGGAUCUAUAGCAGCCUUUCUUGUCAUAGGUGCCACUGCAUUUCCAAAAUGAUAAUUUCUGGAGAAGUAGCCUGGCAUUUACUUGAAAGUAGCAGGACACACAAGCUCUUGGUCAGACGCACGUACUCCACAACAGUGGAAACUAUUUUUUUAAUGGGCAUAACAGGAGGAGUGAGAGUAUAAUGGACUAAAUUGGGUGCCUCUCCAGAUACAGAAGAGUAAUUUAAGCAAAAUACUAAGUGGUAUAUAAACUGGCUACAAAAACACUUCAUCAGAAAAUUAUGUCCCUAGAACUCAGAGAGGGAGGUCUGAAGGGAAGAUCUCACUAGUUACAAAGGCUGCAUUACUCAGUUAAGAACAUGAGUAAAACUCUGUAUGGUAUUAAGAAAAUUUGAUGUGCCCCAAGGUCUUUUUCACAAAUAAACUGUCUUUUUUUUUUUUCCUCCUUGGAUUAGAAACUGGGGGCAGGGGGGAGGAUGUAAUUAAAGACUGUACCAACUGAUUUAAAGACUGGUUUAUGACUGACAUGCAGGGUUGGGUGACCUGUGCUGUACUUUCUCAGCCACUUCUUUCCUGCAUGAUCUUGGGCAUCUGACAAACAAUAUACACUGCCAAGUGGCUUAGGCUGGCAUCCUUCACUUUACCCAAUUCAUAUAAAACUGCAUGGACUAUCUUAACAUUUGCAAGCCACUGUACAACACAGCCUCCAGCCAUGCUAAAUAAAGAUAAAAUGGUUAAAUAUA
Long non-coding RNA from Columba livia (rock pigeon), 2527 nucleotides. RefSeq lists it as uncharacterized. The transcript has 3 exons. The record is from RefSeq and is a predicted model, not a curated record. Lineage: Eukaryota; Metazoa; Chordata; Aves; Columbiformes; Columbidae.